AGUAAACUUGGUGGCUGAAGAAAAAGCUCCGCAGACAACACCAGUGAGUGGGACGCGGCUGGUUAUAGAAAUGAUUGUGGGCUUAUUUACGUGUUUGAGUUUGCUUUAAACCGAGGGGCCGAGCUACAACAUUCAGCACUUUCCCCUCCUCCUCCUCCUCCUCACUACCCCUCCGUGAGCAAAAACAAGAGGUCUGCACAGAGGAACUAAAGGAGACCGCGGAGGGCUACAAUGAGAAGAAAAGACACAGGAGAGACAGGAGGGACAAGAAUGCGACUCAAGUAGAAGACAGCGGACGCACAUCACCUCAAAGUGCCUGGAUGUGCUGGAUGCUGCAGCAGCCUCGUGCCGGCGCAUGCUUUUCCCCACACUGCUGUUCCCUGCAGCCCUGACUGUGUAAGUGUAUCUGUGAUUGCGCUUGGCCUUGACUCGGGCUGUGUUUCACUCUGCGAAGCAAACAGUCCUUCGGCCCGUUUGCUGUUCCUCGAUCCCAAGCCUCCCCCCACCCCCGCCCCCCGCCCCCCCACCUCGCACGCAAUAUCAUUCCGUUGAUCCAAG
This is a long non-coding RNA of Ictalurus punctatus (channel catfish), 558 nucleotides long. NCBI's taxonomy places the organism in Eukaryota, Metazoa, Chordata, Actinopteri, Siluriformes, Ictaluridae. The record is from Ensembl.